This 381-nucleotide ribosomal RNA is filed under the name uncultured marine Chaetocerotaceae. Its description in RNAcentral is "SSU rRNA". It matches the Rfam family "Eukaryotic small subunit ribosomal RNA", at positions 587 to 972 of the family's 1831-position model. The record is from RNAcentral. Lineage: Eukaryota; Bacillariophyta; Thalassiosirophyceae; Chaetocerotales; Chaetocerotaceae.
AGCUCCAAUAGAGUAUAUUAAAGUUGCUGCAGUUAAAAAGCUCGUAGUUGCAUUUCCGAGGCAAGGGAUUAGUCCGACCUUUGGUGGGUAUUUAAUCCUCUUGCCUCGUCCUUGAGUGGUGCUUCUUGGUAUUAAGUUAUCGAGGAGAUAGCCGCUCAUCGUUUACUGUGAGAAAAUUAGAGUGUUCAAAGCAGGCUUAUACCGUUGAAUAUAUUAGCAUGGAAUAAUAAGAUAGGACCUCGGUACUAUUUUGUUGGUUUGAGAACCAAGGUAAUGAUGAAUAGGGACAGUUGGGGGUAUUCGUAUUCAGUUGUCAGAGGUGAAAUUCUUAGAUUUACGGAAGACGAACUACUGCGAAAGCAUUUACCAAGGAUGUUUUCA